RNAcentral lists this ribosomal RNA (5847 nucleotides) under Triticum aestivum (bread wheat). Its description in RNAcentral is "partial small subunit ribosomal RNA". Lineage: Eukaryota; Viridiplantae; Streptophyta; Magnoliopsida; Poales; Poaceae. The record is from RNAcentral.
AUGUGGGGGCUGUCGGCGGGGACGCUGCUGAAGCCGGUGUGCAGGUGGCUGCUGAAGCGGCUCGGGGACCUCACCCUGGGCGACCUCGACCUUGACCAGUUGGACCUCCAGCUCACCCGCGGCACGCUCCAACUCUCCGACCUCGCGCUCAACGCCGACUUCAUCAACGCAAAGCUAUCAGGAUCUCCUAUCACAGUUAAAGAAGGAUCUAUAAAAUCCCUGCUAGUUAAAUUACCUUUACAGUUAAGGAGUUGGAAGGUUGAGAUUGUAGUGGAAGGGUUGGAGUUUGUACUUGCACCAUCUGUUGCUAGUGAAGCCUCACCUGUAGAUACUGAGUGCUCUGUUUCUGCUGGUAAUAGUGAUACAGAGGCGAGAUCGGCUGAGACCAAGAGGAAUGAACCUGAUAGUAAUCCCUGCUCUACUUCUGCAUCUCGAGAUGUGGACGAUGGUGUGAAGAGAAUAGCCAACGCCAUCAAGCAGUUUCUUACAAGAUUUAAUAUCAAGUUGAAAAAUACGUAUGUAGUAUUUGACCCUCAAAGCAUUUUGGAUAAAAGGGCCUUGCAAUUUAAUCGGUCGCUAGUUUUCCGAACUAAAGAGAUACAGUGUGGAACCAAUCUUUCAACAGACAGUCCAGUCAAAUUGAAUAACUUAGUAACAUUCCAAGAGGCGGUCAUUGAGUUUUUGAAGAUGGAUGAUGUUGAUGCAAAUCUUCAGAACGAUCUGGAUAGAGGAACAGCUGACAUUUCAUCAAAUCAUAGUACUACUGCGGUCUUGACAAGUCCCAUUGGUGGAUUCUCAGGAACAUUGAACUUAAGCAUCCCAUGGAAUAGUGGAUGCUUGAACUUUCAAAAAAUUGAUGCAGACAUAUCUGUUGAUUCAUUAGAAUUGCAGUUACAGAUGAGCAGUAUCCAAUGGUUCAUGGAUGUAUAUGAUUCUCUUUGUAGGAACUCGGCAGAUGAACAUAAUUGUGUACAUAGUACUGCAGAUAUGUCUAUGAACGCCUCCAGAGCUUCCUUAUGUGCAUCCACAUCAAGCUCGUCGAAAUCAGGUUCAGCCUCUGCGAUAGCUAGCGGGGACGGUUUGUCACAGAGAGCAUUUUCUCGAAGCAGGCAAGACAAUUUUCAGGAUGGUUUCCUCAACAAGGCACAUGUGAUUCAAGACUGGAUUCCGGGUCUUGGUGUCCAUAGUGACCAAGGUGAAUUUGAUUCAGAUUGUGAUGAAAGCAUCAGUCAGUUCUUUGAAUGCUUUGAGGAACUGAGGAGCUCUCAUACUAAUUUAGGAAAUAGUGGCAUAUGGGACUGGACGUGUUCGGUAUUCAACGCAAUUACUUUUGCAUCCGCAUUAGCUUCUGGAUCCGAUCAAGUCCCUAAAGAAACACUGAUUGAGAAAACCUUGCGGGCUUCCAUUGCUCAGAUAGGCAUUAUUCUUUUGUUCAGUGAUGAAAUGGAUACUGGCAGUUCCAGUAUUUCUCUGAGUCUCGUCAAAGAUAUGAGAAGUUUGGAAAUGUUUUCAAGCUGUCUUUCUCCUGCUCAUUUUGAGCGAUCGAUGAUAUCUCCUGCUAGUGCUUCCAGUUUAAGUAUGCAUCAUCUUGAAUACAAGUGUCAUAACAUUCAUCUUGACCUUGAGACAUAUCCGAAAAACUUGAGGUUGAAAGCAUCGAUUGGCCACAUGAGGCUCGAUGAAUACUACAGCACUGAAAAGCAUGAUUCAGAUCACACACCCGUUAUUGCUCCUUUCUUAAAUAGUGAUUAUUGCCAUGAAGUUCAAGCUGCUCUCCCUUCAUUCCCGUUUGCUGCUCAAGAUUACUGGGUGGAGUCAUCUGGAUACUCUUCGAACAAUUCAAGUAAACUAGCUAAGGUUGAAUUGCUUAAAACAUUUGGUGAUUCCACAUUCCAUUAUGAUGUUAGUAGCACAGAUCGAGGUGGCAACUCAGUAAGCUCAACUUCACUGUCAAUCUGUUUGGCUUCAUUAGUUUGGUGGGUGCAUUUCCAUACAGUACACAUGCUACUGAAUUUUAUCAGUAAAAUUGAGUCUGAUGCGGUGCACGGAAAGCAUAAACUCCAUAUGCGUGGUGAUACAGGAAACAGUAAGUUGACCACCAAAACUAAUAUUUCACCAAGUGGGAGUCUAAAGGUUCAGAUGGCUCUCUCACGUUCAAGAGUCAUCAUUUGCUUUCCUACUGAGUCCCCGUGGGAUUUAAGCCGCCCAUCCAUCCUGGAUACAUUCCUUGUCAUUGACCGCACAUCCUCUCUGGACCCAGGGGAAGCUUCGUCUCCAUUCCGAAAGGAAAUGCCUAAUGAUGCUCAUUCCGGCAUACCAUCUACCUCACUCCAUUUGGCUGCUGGGAACUUCGACAUCUAUUUGCUUAGACCGAUGAGCUAUGAAUUGGAUGACAGAAGCCAUUCUUUGAGUAGGCAAACUUUUUUUGCUCUGAAGAUUAUCUCAGUCACUAGUUCCAACUGUAGCGACUCUAGUAUUAAGAUGAUCUGGAGAAAAUACCCUGUAACUGACCCUGAGAUGGUUAGUAAAGCUUGGAGUUUGCCAAACCUGCAUGACCAAAAGAUUACUCAGCGAGAAAGGGGCAAUUUUGCUGGUGUUUCCUCUUAUACAACCUCACAGGAUCUUGAGAAGUCGAGUUAUAGUAUACGCCAGGAGCUCCUUCAGAGCACUGAGUGCUUUCUGCAUAUUAAACUUUCUUCAGUUUCAGUUCAUCUCAAUAAGAAGGAUUGUGGAUUACUGAAUCAGCUACUAGAUUGCAUUCUCAGCGGGCUGUCCAAUGGUGCAAUGAGCAGCUCUGAAAGUGGAAGGGACAAAUCUAUGCCUAUCAAUGAUGUUGCCAUCCAAUCAGCUAUCACUUUUGAAUGCAGCUUUUUGGAUAUUUGUACUGAAUUAAAUGAAACUGUGGUAGUUGGUCCUUUGCUGCAGACAGAACUAGAAGGUUCCUGGAAUUGUUUUAAGCUGUCCAUUUCAAAAAUUUCCCUGUGCUCUUUUUCUAAUGUAGGCGGAAUCAAUAAUGCCAGUUUUCUUUGGGUGAAUCAUGGUGAAGGUGAGCUUUGGGGUUCUGUUACUGAUACAAAUGAUAAAACCUAUGCCGAAAGCAAAGUUUUUCUCCUAGUUGUCUGUAAGGACUCUGCUAAUAUGCGAGGUGAUGGUGAAGGAAACAAUGCACUAUCUUUUGGAACUUCUGGCUGUUCCGUGACCCACAUCAGGAACCCAAAUCUACAAGAGGACUAUACUUCUGCCAGUUUUCGUUCUGGGACAAUUGUGGCACCUGGUGGACGCAUGGAUUGGAUCAAUGCAAUGUGCCUGCUGUUUAAUGCAGGUUCACGCGGAACUGAACAGUCCAAUAACAGCAAAACAGGGGAUAAUUCAUGUCCUGGUGACCGGUCAUCUUUUUUUCUUGAGUUGGUUGAUGUUGCUGUGAGCUAUGAAUCUCAUGUAAAAACUUCCACCUUCAGCGCUGAAGCUCCUGAUUGCAAGUCUUUUUCAUGCAUUUUAGCUGCAUCAUCGUUUAAACUUCACAGUAUAUCUGCACCAGACUCUGCAGCUACAGAUUUUGAUAUCCAGCUGCGAGAUCUCGGGCUUUUCAUCUGUGAAUCAUUUGGUUCCAAAAAUGCCACUUGCGGUUAUGGUGUUGAUUAUCUUCAUAAAAUGGGUUACACUAAGAUUGCCCGUGACACGUUCAUUGAAGCUGCUCUAAGAAUUGACACUUCCUUUUGGAAGCUUGAAAUAUCAGAUUCACAAUUUGAUAUUGGUACAUGUUGUGAUACAACACAUGGUCUUAUUUGUUUGUGUUCCCACCUCCAGAAUCUAUAUGCUCCAGACAUGCGUGAUGCUUUAGUUCAUCUACAAUCUAGGUGGAAUAGUGUCCAGCAAGCAAACAACCAUAAUAUGGCCAGUGAUGCAUCAGACAAGUCAGAGAGCAGCAUUGACAACUUGGCAUAUUCUGGAGAGUGCUUAUCAGAUGGACUACUUGAUGAUAUAAUUGAGAAUGCUUUUUACACAGACCAGGACUACAAAGCCUACAAUUUUUCUAGCAGAAAUUAUCACAACUCACCAAGUAGCAAUGGAAUGGAUGUUGAGUCUGAGUCGCCCACCCCUGGGGCAACUGACGCCAGUGUUUCACACAUUUUGUUUGGAUCAUCAUUAGCUACUCCAAAAGUCAAUACUACUGAAAUACCAUUGAAACAGGACUCCUGUCAUGAACAAAUUAUUGACUCUUAUUAUAUGCCUGACCUUCUACAGACAUCAUCGUCAACUCUAUGUAAUGUAGGACAUCAAUGUAUAUCUGUUGAUGAUGCUUAUAAAACCAUGGAAUUUGAACAUGGUGGAUGGUAUAACAGUAUUCCCUUGACAAUAGUUGAGAGUCAUGUUCCGGAAAGGAACAACCCACAAGGAGGGCAUGUGGCCCGCCAAGAAGGGAAGCCUACUGUUUGCAGCUUGAAUUAUGAGGAAUCUUGUUAUUUGAAAGGAAAGGUUAUAAUUCAUGAUGUAAAUGUCAAUUGGCGAAUGUAUGCUGGAGAUGACUGGUCAUUAGCUCAGAAAGAUGUAAAUAACUUCUCAUCCUCAAGUGGAAGGAAUAUGAGCUCUUCCUUAGAAUUUCUUAUCUCGGGGCUUGGUGUACAGUUUGAUAUGUAUCCAGAUGGGGGUGUUUCUGUUUCUAAGUUAUCUAUCUCUGCACGGGACAUAAAUCUUUGUGAUCAAAGGGUGGAUGCUCCAUGGAAAAUGGUUCUUGGCUGCUACGACUCAGAUUACCCAAGAGAAUCUUGUUCUAGUGCAUUCACGUUAGAACUGGAGUCUGUAAAGCCCGAGCUACAGACUCCUUUGGAAGAUUACAGAUUGUGCCUUGAGAUUUUGCCUCUUCAAUUGCAUCUUGAUCAAGGGCAGCUUAAGUUCCUCAUGUGUUUCUUUCAGAAUGACUCUUGUGACAACAGCUCUCAUUUGCCUUGCAAAAAUGAUAUUGUUCAUAUAGAGAGCACAAUCUAUGGAAGCAAUACAGUUCUGGAUGAGGCAUUACUUCCGUUCUUUCAGAAAUUUGAUGUCAAGCCUAUUGUUCUGCACAUCAACUAUAUCCCUCGUCAGUUUGAUCCUGUUGCACUAGGCAAAGGAAAUUAUGCAGAACUUCUCAACAUCCUUCCGUUGAAGGGAAUCGAUUUGAAGCUUAAACAUGUUUCUGCAAUGGGGUUGUAUGGGUGGAAUAGUAUUUGUGAAACAGUUGGUGCAGAGUGGUUGGAGGACAUAUCUAAAAAUCAGGUCCAUAAAUUGUUAAAAGGGCUUCCUCCUUUAAAAUCAGUCAGUGCCGUUGUUUCAGGCACUAAGAAAUUGAUAUCUUUACCCAUCGAAAGUUACAAGAAAGACCGGAAGUUGGUCAAGGGAAUGCAAAGAGGUGCUGUUGCCUUUAUCAGAAGUGUUUCCAUUGAAGCUGUAGGGCUUGGUGUCCAUUUGGCAGCGGGAGCUCAUGAUAUGCUGCUGAAGGCAGAACAUGCCCUUACAGCUCUUCCACCACCUUUAGCCGCGUGUGAAGCUAAAAGAAACAAAGAUAACGUAAGGGCAAACCAACCCGAAAAUGCAACACAAGGAAUAAAGCAGGCUUAUGAAAGCUUUACUGAUGGACUUGGAAGGACUGCCUCUGCUUUGAUUGGGAAUCCUAUUAACGUGUAUAAUCGCGGGGCUGGUGCCAGAUCAGCACUGACUACUGCAAUUUGUGGAGCUCCAGCUGCUGUAGUAGCUCCAGUAUCAGCAACUGCCCGUGCUGUACAUUAUGCACUUCUUGGUAUAAGGAACAGCCUUGAUCCUAGACGCAAGAAAGAAUCUAUGUACAAGUACCUGGGGCCUUCUCAACUGUAG